AAAGCAGGUCAGGUGAUCGCUCCCGAUUUUUCGGGGGAGGAAAGUCCGAACUCCACAGAGCAGGAUGCCCGGAGAGAAUCCGGGACUCACAUUGCGAAAGCAAUGUGGGAAGGAAAGUGCCACAGAAACUAUACCGCCCCACACUCAGUUCUUAUGUUUACGAAAAAUGUUUAGUUAUAAAUGACUGCCAGAAAGGAAAGGCAGUCGGCUUUCGUGAGCUAUGGAUUGAGUGUGGGGUAAGGGUGAAAAGGCGGGGUAAGAGCCCACCGGUCGGCUUUUGAGAAAAAGCUUCCUCGCUUGAGGAAGGUGGUAACACCCGAGCCGGGCAAACCCCAUCCGGAGCAAGGCCAAAUAGGGGAGGAUUCUCAAACAGAGAGCGAAGUGGCUCGCUUCGUUUCCCGCUUCAGGGAAGCACUCCCGGGUAGGCCGCAUAGAUAAAUGAUCACCAUCUCCCAUUCUCCCUCUGGAGAACGGGAGAACAGAAUUCGGCUUAUCGACCUGCUUUAAAU
Molecule: RNase P RNA, 509 nt
Filed under: Calditrichota bacterium
Lineage: Bacteria; Pseudomonadati; Calditrichota
Description: Calditrichaeota bacterium RNase P RNA component class A
Rfam family: Bacterial RNase P class A
About the family: Ribonuclease P (RNase P) is a ubiquitous endoribonuclease, found in archaea, bacteria and eukarya as well as chloroplasts and mitochondria. Its best characterised activity is the generation of mature 5'-ends of tRNAs by cleaving the 5'-leader elements of precursor-tRNAs.
Source: RNAcentral